AUUGAACGCUGGCGGCAGGCUUAACACAUGCAAGUCGAGCGAGCGGCGGACGGGUGAGUAAUGUCUGGGAAACUGCCUGAUGGAGGGGGAUAACUACUGGAAACGGUAGCUAAUACCGCAUACCAUCAGAUGUGCCCAGAUGGGAUUAGCUAGUAGGUGGGGUAAGGGGUCACCUAGGCGACGAUCCCUAGCUGGUCUGAGAGGAUGACCAGCCACACUGUGACUUAGACACGGUCCAGACUCCGACGGGAGGCAGCAGUGGGGAAUAUUGCACAAUGGGCGCAAGCCUGAUGCAGCCAAGCCGCGUGUGUGAAGGAGGCCUUCGGGUUGUAAAGCGCUUUCAGCGAGGAGGCGUUACUCACAGAAAGAGCACCGGCUAACUCCGUGACAGGCGCCGCGGUAAUUC
RNAcentral lists this ribosomal RNA (406 nucleotides) under uncultured bacterium. RNAcentral's name for it is "partial 16S ribosomal RNA". It matches the Rfam family "Bacterial small subunit ribosomal RNA", at positions 30 to 526 of the family's 1533-position model. The record is from RNAcentral.